GAUGAACGCUAGCGGCAGGCUUAAUACAUGCAAGUCGAGGGGCAGCGGGGAUAGCAAUAUCUGCCGGCGACCGGCAAACGGGUGCGGAACACGUACGCAACCUUCCCAAAACAGGUGAAUAGCCCUCCGAAAGGAGGAUUAAUACACCGUAAGAUAUAGAGGUGGCAUCAUUUUUAUAUUAUAGGUAGCAAUUACCGGUUUUGGAUGGGCGUGCGCCUGAUUAGGUAGUUGGUGNGGGUAACGGCCCACCAAGCCUUGAUCAGUAACUGGUGUGAGAGCACGACCAGUCACACGGGCACUGAGACAC
This 307-nucleotide ribosomal RNA is filed under the name uncultured bacterium. Its description in RNAcentral is "bacterial SSU rRNA". It matches the Rfam family "Bacterial small subunit ribosomal RNA", at positions 28 to 327 of the family's 1533-position model. The record is from RNAcentral.